Molecule: ribosomal RNA, 433 nt
Filed under: uncultured bacterium
Lineage: Bacteria
Description: partial 16S ribosomal RNA
Rfam family: Bacterial small subunit ribosomal RNA
Source: RNAcentral
AACGAACGCUGGCGGCAUGCCUAACACAUGCAAGUCGAACGAGACCUUCGGGUCUAGUGGCGCACGGGUGCGUAACGCGUGGGAACCUGCCCUUAGGUUCGGAAUAACUCCCCGAAAGGGGUGCUAAUACCGGUUAAUGUCUUCGGACCAAAGAUUUAUCGCCUUUGGAUGGGCCCGCGUUGGAUUAGCUAGUUGGUAGGGUAAAAGCCUACCAAGGCGACGAUGCAUAGCUGGUCUGAGAGGAUGAUAAGCCACACUGGGACUGAGACACGGCCCAGACUCCGACGGGAGGCAGCAGUGGGGAAUAUUGGAGAAGGAGCGAAAGCCUGAUCCAGCAAUGCCGCGUGAGUGAUGAAGGCGUUAGGGUUGUAAAGCUCUUUUACCCGGGAUGAUAAUGACAGUACCGGGAGAAUAAGCUCCGGCUAACUCCGUG